UAAUGGAAUUUAGGGCUUAGGCGUUUCCAGGAAAAAACAAGGACAGACUCCUGAUCACCAAAGGCACACUUAACGACUUCCUCUUUCAAAUUAAGAUGUACUUGGCUUGGAACACAAUGCUAGUGUUCUGGCACUUGUCCUUCCAUCCUGUACAACGAAUUGGGCACGAACUCCAUGCAUCUUCUUGGAUGCCAUAAGUGACCUCCUCCUUGCUCUGUAGGGUACCACCCUGCCUGUGGCAAGUAACUUCUCUGCUUCUUCAUCUUUGUAGAAAUGCACGUUGGCCUUCCCAACACCCAAGGAGCAAAUGUUGCACCGAGAACUACCUGGGAGUUGCUUAGUGGAGUGCCAGUGAAAAGAUGAGUCCCUAGGCAGAGGGUCCUGAACUGUGUAAAAGUAGAGAAAUUGAGCCGACUACAAGCAAGCAAACCACUGAAAAGAUCCUGUCUCUUAUUGAAUCUGGAAUUCUCUGAUUCAACUAGAACAGCUGACCAGCAAACCAAGGGAUUUUCCUGUCACCAUGGGAUUACAGGAAUGGGUCAUUGCUGUUGGCUUUGUAUGUGGGGUCUUCUGGGGAAUCAAACUCAUGUCCCCAUGUCUGCACAGCAAGUAGCUUACUGACUGAACCACUCUCCGGCACUCAACUCCAUUUUUAAGACAUGAAUGCAAAUGAGACACUGAGGUACCAAGACCUUCGUCUUGACAAGGCAAGACGAAGCUAUGAGCCAGGCUGGCUGCAGCUCAAGAGGCUGACACAGGAAACAAUCCACUAAGAUACUGUUUGACCUGGGCCUUAUGAUCAGAGUAGGUAGAAUUAGUGGGAGAGGCAAGGCUGGCAGCGGAGUAUUCUAGACACCUAGAGUAGAGACAGGGAGCGUUGAGCCUGAGGGAGCAAGGGCUCCAGCUCCUGAAGGAGAAGCUGCUUGUGAGACAGAUGUGAACUUAAAUCCUAGUUACAUCACUGGAAGCUUCUCUAAGCUCUUUGAGUCUCAGAAUCUCCGCUCAUAAGAGGGGUGUGAGGGGAAAUUAUGGUGAAAAUUGCAGUAGCCAGAUCUUAGUAGGUAUACCAGAUAUGGCAGGUUUUGUUCAUCUUUUUGUGUGCCUCUUGUCUUUUUGGCUUUUAUAAUUUGGGGGAGGGUGUUUUGUUUUCAUUUUGUUUUGGUGAAAGGAGGUGAAACUGAAAGGCAGGACGGGGCCAGAUCAGGACAGGCUGUUUAAAAUGCAUGUCACAGAUUUUGAUUUGGAUAUAUUUCACAUGCUAGGAGGAUCCAGGAAGGGAUUUUAAAAGGAGGAGGGGGUGUGACCCGGUCUGUUUAGUCUUUGAAAGCAUCUCAUAAGUUGUCAUGGUGCAGAGAGAAGAUUGGGGUUAAAGAAACAGGAAAGUCAGUGGUGCAGGUGGAAGGUGAGAGAGACUGGGGCCAUUGUAGAAGGAAACGGACAGACCCAAAAGAUGUUCAGGACAAAUGAGCUAACUACAGUUCUCUUGAGGGUGAGGCCGAGGGAAGAGAGGACAUGGGGGCUGACUCUCAGGUUUCUGGCUUAGCGGUUGGGAGACUACUGCUUCCCAGACUCUGAGCCUCAGCCCCAGGAGACAGGGAUGAUUGGGAACGUCUGAGGUUUAGGCAUGCUACUCAUGCUGGAGGGGAAAGCUGCUCAUGAGAGCUACUGGGCAGCCUGGCUUCAAACUUGCCAUGGGGGAUUCAGGUGAGCCCUGGCCUUGGCUGAUCACCUGCUUCCUGAAGAGCUUUCCAAGCCCUCGUCUGUCAGGGCCACGAAGGGGAAAUCAGCCUCGGAAAAAGGGGAGAGAAAAGAACAAUCUACUCCAGGAAGCAGGGGAAGGAAGCUCAGAGGUAACCGACCUGCACAAGGCCCUGAUCUGUUGACCCAGUCGGCAAAAAGGAGGCAAGAUCUAUUGCACUUCUAUGAUAGACUUAGAAAACACCCGCCUUAGGGCUAUUGGUUGCUCUGGGCUGAUUCUGUACUGCACCCAGCAGUACACUGGAAGGGGGUUUAUCAGAAUUUCUCAUCAGUAAUGACCGUUGCUGAGGGGUCCGAGGUGCAUCAUCAUUUUCAGCACUCAGUUCUACCACACGUCUAACCCAGCUCACUCUCAGAUCCCACGAGCCCCUAGAGUUCAUAUGCAUGUCAUGAGCUCAUCCCUUCCCUCUCCACGCCUGCAUCAACCCAGCUUCAGGGCAGCAUGCUUCACCAUUCGCCUCUACAGAAGCGAAUGUCCUAUCUUGCCUCCCCUCUUCAGCCCAGUCUUCACACUGUAGCCAGAGCAAUCUUUAAAGCUUCAUCUCUAACUCUUCUUAAAUCCACCCAUAACUGACUGUCAGAACUUGUGUGACCCAUUUCCUCUGGCCCCAGCAUGCACAGGGCUCUCCACUCACACACAGCCACAGCCAUCUUUGCAGGCGCUGGUGGGGAGUGGGGGGGGGGGGAGAGACAUCUUCCCGUCUGUUCUCACAUUAUCCUCAGAAUUUCUGAAGUGAUCUUUGGCUGAAGUGAGGACAUGGACAGGGAGAUAGACCAACCUCCUAAUCCCAAAAGUGGGGAUGAAGUUGGCCUCUUUCUCCUCACGAUUCUAGAACUAGGGUGGGGCUCAAAGAAACAGCGUGCAGUAGCGUCAUCAGGAAAAGUCUUCAGGACUUGGGAGCCAGGUGGGACAGAUAGCUGCAGUUCGAAGCAAGUCCUGAGUAGGGAGCCAAGCUUCAGUGGACGGCAGAGACUGGCAAUGUUGGUAAACGGGGGUGGGGGAGGAUCUGAGAGGAGAUUUUGCUCCAGAACAAUCUGUGCUAUUUCCCGUGAACACUUGGGGUUUCUUUUUGUGGAUUCGCUCAGCUUUUACAGACUUCCCUUCACAGUCCCGCCAGAGUCCAGCAAACUGCACAAAGAAGUCUUAUCCCUGUUUCUCCAGCAGGUGGCAGCUAUGCCCGGGACUCAGUACCUGCAGAAAGCUAGGCGCCUGCCUGCCUGUUCCACUCUGGCGGUCGCUGCUGCCCCUGGCAAGCGCAGAGGAGAAAUUGAUGGCAUGGAUGUUGCCGGGGCUAGCCAACAGUGCCAUUGAUUUUCAUUUAGGAGGAUAAUUAAAUAUUAAUUUUCACUUUGUUAAGUUGAGAAGGGGGAAUAAAGCCAAUGUUGGCAGUAACAGAGGAAGCCAAGCCACACUGGAGGUUUGCAGAAGGAAGGAUGGUAGAGGGCAGAAGUCCUCAAUUGCUAUACUCUCCAGAAACUAAGAGCCCGUCUGCUACCAAGUUUUCUCAUGAACUAGUGGAGUGAUUGAGUGAGUAGACUAACUGGGCUCAGAGACAUGAACUUGGGCAGUUCACUUUAAGACUCAGUCUUCUCAUCUGUAAGAUGGGGGUACCAAUAACAAUACCUUCUUCACAAAGGAUUAAAUGACUUGGUACACAUAAAACGCCAUGAACAUUGGAGCUGAUGACUGUUGGUUAGAACCAUUUUGCUCUUCUCCUUUAGAAAUCUUACAAGGUCUCUGGAGCUUUGCCAUCCUUUUCUAAGGAGUCCCAAUUCUUAUAAAGCCCCAGUGGUACUGUCCAUUUCUUUGGAAGUCUUUUCUCCCCAAAGCUCAUCUUAAUUUACUCAGGGCUUUCCCAGUGAAGUCCAAAUCUCCAAAUCUUGCACCUUUUCCCCCUUCAACCGUAGCCCUCCAUAGGAUUCUGCCCCACUCUGGCCCAGGCUCUCUUGGACCCUCCCCUGUGGGUCCAACAGCUUCACACCCACCUGUUCCUUCCAGCUCUGAAUUUUUUAAAAAGAUUUUAUUUAUUAUUUAUUAUAUGUAAGUACACUGUAGCUGUCUUCAGACACUCCAGAAGAGGGAGUCAGAUCUCAUUACGGAUGGUUGUGAGCCACCACGUGGUUGCUGGGAUUUGAACUCUGGACCUUCGGAAGAGCAGUCGGGUACUCUUACCUGCUGAGCCAUCUCACCAGCCCCAGCUCUGAAUUUUUAUCGCACAGUUUCCUGCAUGGGUGUUCCAGCUUGUCUCAAUGCCUGUGCUUGCAGCAGGAACCAUUUGCUCCCACGGUUAGGUGAAUGAUGCUUUCUACGAUGGCUCCUACUAACGUUUCUGUUUCAUUUACUACUGCUACUACCACUAGCUAACCCAGACCGUGUGCUUACAUUUUGCUGUGCUAUGUACUUCACACGCCUAAGCUCAUCACCCAUGAAUUCAGUCUUACAGAUGAAGAAACACGGGUGUUUUAUCUUAUUUUUUGAAACAAAGUCUCACUAUAUAAGCCUGGUUGUCUUGUUACUUGAUAUAUAGACCAGGUUGGACUCAGAGAGCUCUGCCUGCCUUUGCCUCCAAAGUGCUGGCAUUAAAGGUGUGUCCAGCAACACUCGGGUUUUAGACUUGCCCAGGAUCACAGAGUUGGUGAGUUCAUGGAAAGUUCUGAUUUGUAAAAUAAAGCUGAAAUGGGUACCUGGUUCUUAUUCUAAUUGAUCUUGUUCUCGACACCUGGGACUUCUACAGAAAAUCAGAUCCUUUGUCAGGAUCUUAAGGCAACAGUCACAUUUACUGGGACUUUCCUUACUACAGUCUGAUGAACUAAGAUCUUAGUACAACCCACUCCCAACAGAGGAGAAAACUGAAGCUUGAAUUGAAGGAAUUAUAGAAGAGACAUAGAUGAUAUUCAGAUCUAAGUCUGAAAGACUAAAACCAAGUAUCUUUAAUUAUCAUGUUAUGAUGCCUUCGUGUUAGAAUCCCAUUAAAUUCUUCUUUCCCAGAUAUACAUCUGAGAUCUACUUGAACACAUCUCAUGAUAUGUUUUGCAUCUUUGUGCCUUUAUUCUAUUCUGGUCUCUUUAUAGACCAAUGAAUUUCUUAAGUCUGGAAUAGACAUUGUCCCAGACUUUGCCUACUCAUGACACCUGAAUGUCUCCUAGGAGAAAAUGAGGCUGGGAGCCUUGGUUUCCUCUUGGCAACCAAUGCUUGACCCUAACUGUCACCAUGACACAAAUGGUAGGUUCUGAUUUUCCUUUGCUUGUGACCAUCCAUUAAUUGAGACCAGAUCAUAAAAUCCCAAGUGCCUAUAAAAUCAAGAAGUAUCUUUUAACUUUAGUUAUGUUUAUAAUAUGGAGUGAAGACAAUUUAGGUGAGUCAAGGCACCCCAAAAGUAUUACAGGAAAAAGUCCACAGGAAAGUCCCAUCCAGGAGCACAAGAGUGGAGACAACAUGGAGCGACAGACAUGCUCACAGGAGUGACAACAAUACCCAAAACCACGAUUUUAGUCAAAGUGGAAA
Molecule: long non-coding RNA, 5263 nt
Organism: Mus musculus (house mouse)
Lineage: Eukaryota; Metazoa; Chordata; Mammalia; Rodentia; Muridae
Product: predicted gene, 51709
Exons: 3
Source: RefSeq, a predicted model, not a curated record